CACAGGCUGAGCCCCCUGGUGUGUUUGGGGAGCCGGCUCCAUGGGAGCCCCGUGAGGAGACCCAGCUCUGGCCUUCUGGAGCUCCAAGCCCCGCGAGGACUGCAGGUCCAAGCCUGAACGGCCGGCCGGGCAGGUGCAACUGACGGCAGCCGGCUCCUUGGAGGAGGUGGCUUCGGGCUCAGAAAACAUUAGGCCGGGAGGAAUGAUGGGUACACAGGUGUCAAGUGCUGGAUCUCAGAGGUCAGGACCAGAUCCAGGAGAGUGAGUGUCCAGAGGAUGAUUGUAGGCAGUUAGGGCUUUAAGUGGCCUUGUGGAGAUCCCGGGGUUCAUCGUGGCUCAGAUGUGGCAGGAUUCCUGUGGCCAGGGAACAACAGGAAGUGGGAAAGUUGCUGGAUGUGAAAGGUCAGGUACACAGGUGUGAAGGCUGCUGACCUUUAUCUAUGGACAGGUAAAGGGUGACCUUCAGGAUUGAUGGAAGCCUUUGCAUGGCCAGAAGAUUGGAGUGGCCCACAAUACCUUGUUUAUAUUCAUUUCCUAGAACUGGGACAAAAUAUCCAACACCAGCACCUUAAAGGAGAAAAGGUUUAUUUGGCUCACAGUUUCCAGAGGGUGCAGUCCAAAGUUGCCAGCCUCCAAGGUAGAAACAUGGCAGAAGGGCCUGACAGAAGAAAGCUGCUUACCCCCUGGGAGCCAGGAAGCAGAGAGAGAAGGGAAGACACAGGAGCAAAAAUACAUGCAUUCUUCCAAGUCAGGCCCUCAGUGACCCAGCUCCAACAGCCCCCUUCUCCUGACAGCCAUUCAUCCAUGAGCUCAUCAAUGAAUGAAUCACUGUGAUAGAAAGCUGAUUGAUACAGAUGGUCUCCAAAGAAACCCAGAAAACUACUGGAGGAGUAAAACAAUCAACAUUUCAGAAUGUUCAUACACAGAGAGCCCCAGCACCGGGUGACAAUUGAGCAGCCAAGCAAGAACCACCUUGUGUCUUCCCACUUGAGGUAUGAGACAGAAGCUGAGGAGGUGGGCAAGAGAAGGAACAGAAGAAUGAGGCUGAUCACACCUCCUACACACGCGCUUGUCCCACUGCAGGGAGCUCAAUCUGCCAUAGUCUGAGCUGAGGAAAGCCUGGGGACAGCCAGAGAUUUUACCCCGGGGCCAACAAUGAAUAAGAUGAAAAAGCUGGAAUGAAAGGGGAGACUUGAUACAACUGCUUUCUAUUUGCAUCUUAGUAAAUUCAGCUCAUCCAGAGUCCAGUUGAAGAUACACAACCAGUCCAGUUGCUGAUACAAAAUGUGGGAUGAUGAUUACCAAAUGGAAAGAAGCAAGGUACAGAGCAAUGCAUACCAUGAUAUCUUCUAUCUCAGAAAGG
Molecule: long non-coding RNA, 1363 nt
Organism: Heterocephalus glaber (naked mole-rat)
Lineage: Eukaryota; Metazoa; Chordata; Mammalia; Rodentia; Bathyergidae
Source: Ensembl